AGUGAACGCUGGCGGUAGGCCUAACACAUGCCAGUCGAACGGCAGCACAGUAAGAGCUUGCUCUUACGGGUGGCGAGUGGCGGACGGGUGAGGAAUACAUCGGAAUCUUCUUUUUCGUGGGGGAUAACGUAGGGAAACUUACGCUAAUACCGCAUACGACCUACGGGUGAAAGCAGGGGAUCUUCGGACCUUUCGCGAUUGAAUGAGCCGAUGUCGGAUUAGCUAGUUGGCGGGGUAAAGGCCCACCAAGGCGACGAUCCGUAGCUGAUCUGAGAGGAUGAUCAGCCACACUGGAACUGGGACACGGUCCAGACUCCUACGGGAGGCAGCAGUGGGGAAUAUUGGACAAUGGGCGCAAGCCUGAUCCAGCCAUACCGCGUGGGUGAAGAAGGCCUUCGGGUUGUAAAGCCCUUUUGUUGGGAAGGAAAAGCAGCAGGUUAAUACCCCGCUGUUCUGACGGUACCCAAAGAAUAAGCACCGGCUAACUUCGUG
RNAcentral lists this ribosomal RNA (492 nucleotides) under uncultured bacterium. RNAcentral describes it as "partial 16S ribosomal RNA". It matches the Rfam family "Bacterial small subunit ribosomal RNA", at positions 29 to 507 of the family's 1533-position model. The record is from RNAcentral.